Molecule: ribosomal RNA, 373 nt
Filed under: uncultured organism
Description: bacterial SSU rRNA
Rfam family: Bacterial small subunit ribosomal RNA
Source: RNAcentral
CGUAGGGUGCGAGCGUUAAUCGGAAUUACUGGGCGUAAAGCGUGCGCAGGCGGUUUAGUAAGACAGGCGUGAAAUCCCCGGGCUCAACCUGGGAACUGCGCUUGUGACUGCUAAGCUAGAGUACGGCAGAGGGGGGUGGAAUUCCACGUGUAGCAGUGAAAUGCGUAGAGAUGUGGAGGAACACCAAUGGCGAAGGCAGCCCCCUGGGUCGAUACUGACGCUCAUGCACGAAAGCGUGGGUAGCAAACAGGAUUAGAUACCCUGGUAGUCCACGCCCUAAACGAUGUCAACUAGGUGUUGGGAGGGUAAAACCUUUUAGUACCGGAGCUAACGCGUGAAGUUGACCGCCUGGGGAGUACGGCCGCAAGGUUAA